UACGUAGGGUGCGAGCGUUAAUCGGAAUUACUGGGCGUAAAGCGUGCGCAGGCGGCGCGUUAAGACAGGUGUGAAAGCCCCGAGCUUAACUUGGGAAUUGAGCUUGUGACUGGCGUGCUGGAGUGUGGCAGAGGGAGGUGGAAUUCCACGUGUAGCAGUGAAAUGCGUAGAGAUGUGGAGGAACACCGAUGGCGAAGGCAGCCUCCUGGGCCAGCACUGACGCUCAUGCACGAAAGCGUGGGGAGCAAACAGG
RNAcentral lists this ribosomal RNA (253 nucleotides) under uncultured bacterium. RNAcentral's name for it is "partial 16S ribosomal RNA". It matches the Rfam family "Bacterial small subunit ribosomal RNA", at positions 524 to 776 of the family's 1533-position model. The record is from RNAcentral.